Molecule: long non-coding RNA, 2210 nt
Filed under: Olea europaea subsp. europaea
Lineage: Eukaryota; Viridiplantae; Streptophyta; Magnoliopsida; Lamiales; Oleaceae
Source: RNAcentral
CUCUUCUCUUUCCCAAGUUGACUCUUCGACAUUAUGGUUUCUCCAUUGAACUCUCACUAACGGAAUUUCCUUUGUCCUCAGUUGUUGGAUUCUGCGAUCCAAUAUUGCUACUGGUUUUUCCUCAUAAGUCAUGUUUCGUUUGAUAUCCAAUGGUUGAUAACUAACCACAUGACUUUGAUCUGACACAUAUUGUCGAAGCAUUGACACGUGGAACACAUCAUGAAUUGCUGACAAAUCUGGUGGUAGAGAUAUUCGAUAGGCUGCAUUUCCAACUUUCUACAAAAUUUCAAAAGGACCUACGAAUCUUGGUCGAAGUUUUCCCUUCUUUCCAAAGCGAAGAACUCCCUUCAUCGGUGCCACUUUUAAGAAAACUUUAUCACCAACAUUAAAUGCCAAAUCUUUUCUUUUUUUAUCGGCAUAACUUUUUGUCGGUCCUAGGCUGCCUUGAUUCUAGCUCUUAUUUUAUCAGCCGCUCGACUAGUUUCCUCAAUUAUUUCGGGUCCUAAAACUCUUCGUUCACCUACUUCAUCCCAAUAAAGGGGAGCUCUACAUCUUCUGCCAUAAAGAGCUUCGUAAGGUGCCAUCUUUAUCGUAGCUUGAUAGCUAUUAUUAUAGGCAAAUUCUACCAGUGGUACAUAACUUUCCCAACUGCCCCCUAAAUCAAGGACGCAUGCACGCAGCAUAUCCUCCAAAGUCUGUAUAGUCCUCUCCGAUUGCCCAUUAGUUUGCGGAUGAAAAGUUGUGCUGAAGUUUAACUUGGUUCCCAUAGCUUCUUGCAAACUUUUCCAAAUUUUUGAGGUAUAUCUUGGAUCUCUAUCCGAUACAAUUGAGGCUGGGAUACCAUGCAAACGGAUGACCUCUUUGAUGUAUAAUUGCAUGUAUUGAUCCAUAAUAAAAUUUACUCUUACAGGUAGAAAAUGAGCUGACUUUGUUAACCGAUCCACUAUAACCCACAUAGCAUCAUUUCCCUUAGCUGAUUUUGGAAAACCCAUAACAAAAUCCGUAGUUAUAUGCUCCCAUUUCCAUUGUGGAAUUGUUAAUGGUUCCAACAACCCAGAUGGCCUUUGAUGUUCAGCAAUCACUUGUUGACAAGUCAUGCAUCUCCUGACAAAAAGACCUAUGCACUGUUUCAUAUUUCUCCACCAAAACAUACUCCUUAGAUCACGAUACAUUUUUGUACCUCCUGGAUGGGCAGUAUAUGGAGUUAAGUAUGCUUCUUCAAGAAUUUUUUUUCUCAAUCCCUCAUCUUUCGGCACACACAACCUUCCCUUAAAGAGUAAGGCUUUAUCACUGCCUAAUCCAAAAUCCUUUCGCUUGCUAGUACCAACUUCAGAUUUGAUCUUUUGCAGGAAAGAGUCACCAUCUUGUGCUACUCUUAUUCGAUCUCUAAGCAUUGGUCGAAUCGUUAGAGCCGCUAUCCUAGUGAUAGUUUGGGUUGGUGGAACAAUUACUUCUAGAUGUAAGUUUUCGAAAUCUUUUAACAACUGGUCCUGCAUAGUGAUUAGUACUGCUAAUUGUCCAACCGCCUUUCUGCUAAGAGUAUCUGCUACUACAUUAGCUUUACUAGGAUAGUAAAGGAUAGUGCAAUCAUAAUCCUUUACUAGCUCUAGCCAUCUCCUCUACCUCAUAUGUAAUUCCUUUUGGGUGAAAAAGUACUUCAAACUCUUAAGAUCAGUAUAAAUGUCACACUUAUUUCCAUAUAAGUAAUGACGUCAUAUCUUGAGGGCAUGAACUACCGCAGCCAAUUCUAGAUCAUGGGUUGGGUAGUUUUGUUCAUAUUGUUUCAAUUGUCUAGAAGCGUAGGCUAUCACCUUUCCUUUCUGCAUCAGAACACAUCCUAUACCCUGUUUCGAAGUAUCACUGUAUAUAACAAAUCCUUCUGGUCCGUCAGGUAUUGUUAACACUGGAGUUGUGACUGAUCUUUGUUUCAGCUCUUGGAAGCUCUGUUCACAUUUCUCUGUCCAUUGAAAUUUUAUCCCUUUUCGAGUCAACUGGGUCAAUGGUCCUGCUAUUUUAGAAAAUCCCUCGAUAAAUCUUCUAUAGUAACUAGCCAAUCCCAAGAAGCUACGUAUUUCUCUAACAUUGGUUGGUCUUACCCAAUUAUUUACUGCUUCCACUUUAGUUGGGUCUACUUCAAUUCCUCGUGUUGUGAUUAAGUGCCCCAGAAAACCUAUUUUAUCCAACCAGAAUUCACAUUUCUUGAAUUUGGC